CACGGGAUUAGCUUUAAUGAAAUUAGCUAAUCCGCGCGUUGAAGAUUUUCAGGACUGUGGAGAGGUGCCGAAUUCGGGCGGACUGCGCAAUCCCUCGCCUCCUCUCGCUCCCUCACUCACUCUCGCCUCCUCUCAUCAACGCCUCUACACCAGGUUCUCUCUCUCUCUCUCUAUUAAUCUGAAGUUGACUCUUCCGAUUAGACGCCGAUGCGGCGAUGCCACAAAGAAGAAGACGCCUCCAGAUCUUGGAUGGAGGAGAUUGGAGUUGUGCGGCGGUAGAACAGCGAGGUAAACCACCUGCUGGAAUCGGUGUUUGAUUCUUAUAAGAAGGCGCUGGAUGUCGGCACGGUGAAGUUGAUAACUGCGGCGGAGGCGGAGGAGGUGGAGGAGGAGAGGAUGGAGUCAUAAACUCAUCAGUUGUUACUCCAAAGACGCACGGUGUUUCUCCCGAGAAGAAAGUACCCAAUUCAACCAUGUCCUUGGGUUAUGCAGAGAAGCUUCCUACAUUGAAGAUGUCGGCAGCGUCGGAAUGUCUGAACAUUUCAACACACCUGACGUUUUGCAACAAAAGGAUCUGCUUCCACUUCUGCGCUUCUGGGUUUUAGCUCCAAUCCUCAGAGAGUUCCCUUGGUUAAAUUUUGGUGCAAGUUGGAUGCUUUAGAACUGGGUUUUAUGAGGGUUUUGAAGAACAACUUUAAGAAAUUGAGCGGCCAAUAAUCUUGGGUUCUUUUUUCUCUUAGACUAUAAAGCUCACCCAUUUCAUUGAUGAUUGUAAACAAACCAAGAAUAUUUGAUUCUUAGCUCAUUUGUCAUGGUUUGGUUCUGAUAAAGGUUCUGACUUGUAAGGCUAAAGCCUAUCAUGUAGUAUCCUGGUUAGAUUUUGAUUACUUGUGACCUGUGUUAGGUGAAUACAUAUUUAAUUGUAUGUUACUAUACUAUUGAUGCUUUAAUAAGAGUUCUUAUUUUGAUGAUCA
Molecule: long non-coding RNA, 974 nt
Organism: Argentina anserina (silverweed cinquefoil)
Lineage: Eukaryota; Viridiplantae; Streptophyta; Magnoliopsida; Rosales; Rosaceae
Exons: 3
Source: RefSeq, a predicted model, not a curated record